Non-coding RNA from Ictidomys tridecemlineatus (thirteen-lined ground squirrel), 549 nucleotides. The record is from RefSeq and is a predicted model, not a curated record. Lineage: Eukaryota; Metazoa; Chordata; Mammalia; Rodentia; Sciuridae.
GGGCGCCCGGGUGGCCGCUCUUGUAGUGGAGAGCCAGGGCUUCCGGAAGGGGAGAGGAGCGAUCUUAGUGGAAGGAUCGGCACCCAGGAAGGGGCGACUUGAGACCGAGCAGGGAGGGGGGUGCCUGGGAGUGGGCGUACGGAAGGGAGCGACCGGGAGAAGUCGGGAAGAAGAUGUGGCCUGACCCUCCUCUGAGAGUGUGUGUCUUCCUUCCUCUUCGGAAAUGAUUGCUACCCGCGACUUUGAUUUCGGUCCCAUUCAGUUUUUAAACUUCAGGAGAGAUCACAGCAUCUUGAUCAUCUUCCUUUCGUCACACCCACUUAGUCCUGCUGGUGUAGGGUUUUACUUCUUGGAAAACUAGCCCUUCGGAUCAUAUUUCUUUGAAAGAUUUCCCCCUGAUCUGGUCAUCUUGGAGGCUAAGAACUAAAAAGUUGUACUUGCACUGAUGGUGUAAAGGCAAAGUUUCAUGGUGAUGAUAUGGCAUCUGCCAGCUCCAGCCGGGCAGGAGUAGCCCUGCCUUUUGAGAAAUCUCAGCUUACUCUGAAAGGU